Molecule: unclassified non-coding RNA, 281 nt
Filed under: Pseudopithomyces sp.
Lineage: Eukaryota; Fungi; Ascomycota; Dothideomycetes; Pleosporales; Didymosphaeriaceae
Also listed under: 2 other names
Description: partial internal transcribed spacer region
Rfam family: Eukaryotic small subunit ribosomal RNA (bases 1-46)
Source: RNAcentral
AAGUCGUAACAAGGUUUCCGUAGGUGAACCUGCGGAAGGAUCAUUAACCGUUACAAACAGUGUGUGAUGCGGCCGCCGAGGUGAAUAGCCUCUGGUUGGUAUGGGGUUCGCCCCUUCACGCUCACGCGUCUGCCAUCCUUACUUUACGAGCACCUUCUGUUCUCCCUCGGCAAGGGCCUCGCCCUGCCGUUGGAACUACAAAACUCUUUUUUGCAUCUAGCAUUACCUGUUCCGACAAAAACAAUCGUUUACAACUUUCAACAAUGGAUCUCUUGGCUCUG